Molecule: ribosomal RNA, 252 nt
Filed under: uncultured bacterium
Lineage: Bacteria
Description: partial 16S ribosomal RNA
Rfam family: Bacterial small subunit ribosomal RNA
Source: RNAcentral
UACGUAGGGGGCAAGCGUUGUCCGGAAUUAUUGGGCGUAAAGCGCGCGCAGGCGGUUCUUUAAGUCUGGUGUCUAAGUGCGGGGCUCAACCCCGUGAUGCACUGGAAACUGGGGAACUUGAGUGCAGAAGAGGAGAGCGGAAUUCCACGUGUAGCGGUGAAAUGCGUAGAGAUGUGGAGGAACACCAGUGGCGAAGGCGGCUCUCUGGUCCAUAACUGACGCUGAGGUGCGAAAGCGUGGGGAGCAAACAGG